AGCAAACAAGGUUAUAUAAUUCAACUCAUCUAUAAUACAACUUUCAAUUUAACUAAUAUGCUCUUGGUAUUUUAAGCCUCAACUUGAUUGUAGCUGCCCUGAGAUUACUUCUGUUAUUUUCUUUGCAGCUCAUGGUUACAUAAUUCUUCUUCGCAAGUGGCAUGAAGUUCAAUGAUGCGUGUACUGCUUCUUCUAGUUGGCUUGGUAAUUGAGGAAUUGGUGAAGCAGCUUUAGUAUUAAAGUGUUUCUUUUCCAUAGACAUAUUCAUAUUGUAACACCUAUUGAAUUAUUGCUGCUGAGCAAUUUGACAGCGAAUUUGUACAUACUAUAUAUAAUGAUGAGCUCUGGUUGAC
Long non-coding RNA from Panicum virgatum (switchgrass), 353 nucleotides. RefSeq lists it as uncharacterized. NCBI's taxonomy places the organism in Eukaryota, Viridiplantae, Streptophyta, Magnoliopsida, Poales, Poaceae. The record is from RefSeq and is a predicted model, not a curated record. The transcript has 2 exons.